GACGAACGCUGGCGGCGUGCUUAACACAUGCAAGUCGAACGGAAAGGCCCUGCUUUUGUGGGGUGCUCGAGUGGCGAACGGGUGAGUAACACGUGAGUAACCUGCCCUUGACUUUGGGAUAACUUCAGGAAACUGGGGCUAAUACCGGAUAGGAGCUCCUGCUGCAUGGUGGGGGUUGGAAAGUUUCGGCGGUUGGGGAUGGACUCGCGGCUUAUCAGCUUGUUGGUGGGGUAGUGGCUUACCAAGGCUUUGACGGGUAGCCGGCCUGAGAGGGUGACCGGCCACAUUGGGACUGAGAUACGGACCAGACUCCUACGGGAGGCAGCAGUGGGGAAUAUUGCACAAUGGGCGGAAGCCUGAUGCAGCAACGCCGCGUGCGGGAUGACGGCCUUCGGGUUGUAAACCGCUUUCGCCUGUGACGAAGCGUGAGUGAUGGUAAUGGGUAAAGAAGCACCGGCUAACUACGUG
This 468-nucleotide ribosomal RNA is filed under the name uncultured bacterium. RNAcentral's name for it is "partial 16S ribosomal RNA". It matches the Rfam family "Bacterial small subunit ribosomal RNA", at positions 28 to 507 of the family's 1533-position model. The record is from RNAcentral.